This 109-nucleotide ribosomal RNA is filed under the name Amanita vaginata. RNAcentral describes it as "partial 5.8S ribosomal RNA". It matches the Rfam family "5.8S ribosomal RNA", at positions 1 to 109 of the family's 154-position model. Rfam says of the family: 5.8S ribosomal RNA (5.8S rRNA) is a component of the large subunit of the eukaryotic ribosome. It is transcribed by RNA polymerase I as part of the 45S precursor that also contains 18S and 28S rRNA. The record is from RNAcentral. Lineage: Eukaryota; Fungi; Basidiomycota; Agaricomycetes; Agaricales; Amanitaceae.
UACAACUUUCAACAACGGAUCUCUUGGCUCUCGCAUCGAUGAAGAACACAGCGAAAUGUGAUAAGUAAUGUGAAUUGCAGAAUCCAGUGAAUCAUCGAUCUUGACGCAU